This is a long non-coding RNA of Tripterygium wilfordii, 667 nucleotides long. RefSeq lists it as uncharacterized. NCBI's taxonomy places the organism in Eukaryota, Viridiplantae, Streptophyta, Magnoliopsida, Celastrales, Celastraceae. The record is from RefSeq and is a predicted model, not a curated record. The transcript is spliced from 2 exons.
AACUUAAAAAACACGGAAACUGAAAGUUUCGGCGUCAAAAAUUGGUAGGUUAUUUACACUUAUGCCAUUGAGAAGAAUAAGAGAUCCUAACCUAAAUCGUGCAUUGGACAAAGCCCAACAUCCAAGAGAAGAAAGCAACUGAUCUUCAUUGCUUGAAUUCGUACCAGUAGACCUCAUCACCACUAAAGAGGAGAAUCGAUAAAUUUCUAGCUCUGAAGAAAAUUGGGAGAAGUUUCAAUGCACAAGUGCGCAAUAGGACGGACUAUCGAAACCCGGAUUUCUUGCUGGAUGCGGUGAGGUAUCAGGAUAUUGAUCGGAUAGGGUCCUGCUUUAGUAAAGAUGUGUUUGAGCCUCAUGGAUAUGAAAACAGCGACUACUAUAUAUGAUGAAAUAGGUCAUUUACCCAGCUUGUUCAACUUCUCACUCUUGAGCACACAGAGAUUUGCUUCUUGCUUUGUUCUUUUUUAUGCAUGCAACAUGCACUUUGGAAAAGCAUUAUCUGUCCAUCUGGGCUGCUACCUGUCAUUUGGAAAAGUAUCACUUUCUUUUAUUCUAUAAAACGUACAAAAUAUCAUCUAUGCAGAUUUGUACAUGCAUACUCUGUAAGUUAUAGCAGUAUGUAUGUCAAUUGUUUGAGGAAAUAGGAACUGCAUGAAGAUUCAAGGUU